UCGAUGCUCUGGGGCACGGCGGCCGGGUACGCGGCGGUCGCGAGGCUCCGGAGCCUCGCGGUGUAGUUGGCUACGAAGUUGGUGUCGUUGAUCUGCGGCAGGGUCGGCGCGAAGAUGGGGAGGUUGGCGGCGGCGGCGGUGGUGGCGGAGGAGGAGGAGGAGGAGGAGGAGGAGGAGGAGGGGUCCUCGUACUCGAGGAUGCCGGCGACGGUGGUGUUGUCGAAGGUGCCCUGCGUGUUGGUGUAGGGGCGGGCCUCCAUGUAGUAGCGCGCGCCCGGGAACGCCGGCUUGGCGGCGAGGAGCACGUUGCUG
This 312-nucleotide long non-coding RNA is filed under the name Setaria italica (foxtail millet). RNAcentral describes it as "long non-coding RNA (SITA_LNC002092)". Lineage: Eukaryota; Viridiplantae; Streptophyta; Magnoliopsida; Poales; Poaceae. The record is from RNAcentral.